GUGGGGAAUAUUGGACAAUGGGCGAAAGCCUGAUCCAGCCAUGCCGCGUGUGUGAAGAAGGACUUCGGAUUGUAAAGCACUUUAAGUUGGGAGGAAGGGCAGUAAGUUAAUACCUUGCUGUUUUGACGUUACCGACAGAAUAAGCACCGGCUAACUUCGUGCCAGCAGCCGCGGUAAUACGAAGGGUGCAAGCGUUAAUCGGAAUUACUGGGCGUAAAGCGCGCGUAGGUGGUUUUGUAAGUUGGAGGUGAAAUCCCCGGGCUCAACCUGGGAACUGCCUCCAAAACUGCAUGACUAGAGGACGGUAGAGGGUAGUGGAAUUUCCUGUGUAGCGGUGAAAUGCGUAGAUAUAGGAAGGAACACCAGUGGCGAAGGCGACUACCUGGACUGAUACUGACACUGAGGUGCGAAAGCGUGGGGAGCAAACAGGAUUAGAUACCCCGGUAGUCC
This 450-nucleotide ribosomal RNA is filed under the name uncultured bacterium. Its description in RNAcentral is "bacterial SSU rRNA". It matches the Rfam family "Bacterial small subunit ribosomal RNA", at positions 354 to 796 of the family's 1533-position model. The record is from RNAcentral.